GAGUCAGCCCCUUCCCCGCUUCCCCGCCCACAUAGUCACCUGAGUGCGGCCCCCUGGGCCUGGCAGAGGCGAUGGGGCAAGCACAGAGAGGCCGGGAGGAAAAGCGGGGCAAGUGUGUGUGAGGGGUCCUGGCCAGUCUGCGUCCUGCUAGAUCUUGCUGAGGGCAGGCGGGCCGCAGAGUGAGACGGCGUGCGCCAAUGGGUAGGGAGGAGAACAGCCGAAGGGUCUGAUCCUGCAAGAGGCUGAAAUUAAUGAGACUAGAGGGGACCUGUGAGGAUUGGCUCUGGCAAGAUCUGAUCUUGCCAUUGGAUCUGCUCUGAAACAUGGAUCCCAAAGCGCUGCACCUUGCAGCAUUCCUCCCCCUUCCACAUCUUGUUGAAGAUUGGGUACCUUAAUUAGGACUAAUUCCAAAGAGAUUGUGGGUUUCAGUAUCCAGUACACUGUACAGUGUGCCUGCUCCAGAACAGCAGAGUGGAAUGAAGCAUCAUCUAAAAAACUCACUGCACUACUGGGAGCAAGCCUGAUCAAAUCAGAUUUCAGCUAUGGUUAUACACGAAAAUCAAUUGUCUGUAUCCUCUUAAAAAACCCCACAAGCAUCCCAAGUCUCUGUGUAUUAUUAUAAAUAUUAAUAGAUACAUUCUAUCUAAUGUACUUUACUGACCCCAUUGCUAUAGCAUCUGACCACCUCACAGUCCUUAAUGUAUUUAUCCUCACAACAUCCCUGUGGGGCAGGGCAACGCUAUUAUCUCCAUUGUACAGCUGAGAAAUUGAGAUACAGAGAGAGUCAAGUGACUUGACUGGGUCACUCAGGAAGCCUGGAACAGAGCAAAGAAUUGAACCUGGUUCUCCCAAGUCCCAGGCUAGUGUCUAACCACUGGACCUACUAUGUGUCUAUUACUUUGGCAGAUUUAUAUUUUGCCACUCUGAAAACUAAACAGUACAGAAAUGUUAGGGCAGCAAUAUCUUAGCCUACAGGCAACACCCACUUCACAACAGAUAGGUUCUCCAUCCCCAAACAGAUUAGUGCUUGUAAGAGAGAGAACGGCUACAGAGCACAUGCUACCAGGAAACAUUAUACUGUAUUUGUAGGCCUGUGGUAAUCUUGAGAUUUGGGGACCAUACAGAAGCAGCACUAUAAGUGAAGACAUUACAUAGUACUUAUACAUGUGGGUCAGCUGAAAACAGGCACUUGGACAAAUAAAAGCAGAUAGUAUUGUAAUCAGGAUGGUACUCAGAUGAUUUUCUCCAUGUGUAUGUCAGUAGAAGGGAGCAGGAUAUAUUUCCAUGGUUUUCAGGCAUGACACCUUUGCAGUAUAAGGAGAAUU
Long non-coding RNA from Gopherus evgoodei (Goodes thornscrub tortoise), 1325 nucleotides. RefSeq lists it as uncharacterized. Lineage: Eukaryota; Metazoa; Chordata; Testudines; Testudinidae. The record is from RefSeq and is a predicted model, not a curated record. The transcript is spliced from 3 exons.